AGUCACUGACAUUAGAUACCCCGGUAGUCCAGGGUGUAAACGCUGCAGACUUGGUGUUGGGAACCCUUCGGGGGUGCUCAGUGCCGGAGAGAAGUUGUUAAGUCUGCUACUUGGGGAGUACGUCCGCAAGGAUGAAACUUAAAGGAAUUGGCGGGGAGCACCGCAACGGGAGGAGCGUGCGGUUUAAUUGGAUUCAACGCCGAAAAACUCACCAGCAGCGACUGUUACAUGAAAGUCAGGUUGAUGACCUUACUAGAUUUUCAG
Molecule: ribosomal RNA, 264 nt
Filed under: uncultured archaeon
Lineage: Archaea
Description: partial 16S ribosomal RNA
Rfam family: Archaeal small subunit ribosomal RNA
Source: RNAcentral